AGGAUCAGGAAUCGUCACUCUUUGACUCUUCAAAAGAGCCACUGAAUCCAACUUGGUUGAUGAGUCCCAUAACCUUUGUACCCAGUGAGAAACCGUAUGGCGCGAUGAUCUACCCAUGGGUGGGUACAAAUGGCAGUCUGACAAGU
This 146-nucleotide small nucleolar RNA is filed under the name Saccharomyces cerevisiae BY4741. RNAcentral describes it as "U3 snoRNA from Saccharomyces cerevisiae BY4741 (PDB 6ND4, chain 2)". It matches the Rfam family "Fungal small nucleolar RNA U3". Rfam says of the family: Small nucleolar RNAs (snoRNAs) are involved in the processing and modification of rRNA in the nucleolus. There are two main classes of snoRNAs: the box C/D class, and the box H/ACA class. U3 snoRNA is a member of the box C/D class. The record is from RNAcentral. Lineage: Eukaryota; Fungi; Ascomycota; Saccharomycetes; Saccharomycetales; Saccharomycetaceae.